This 456-nucleotide ribosomal RNA is filed under the name uncultured bacterium. RNAcentral describes it as "bacterial SSU rRNA". It matches the Rfam family "Bacterial small subunit ribosomal RNA", at positions 340 to 789 of the family's 1533-position model. The record is from RNAcentral.
UACGGGAGGCAGCAGUGGGGAAUAUUGCACAAUGGGCGCAAGCCUGAUGCAGCCAUGCCGCGUGUAUGAAAAAGGCCUUCGGGUUGUAAAGUACUUUCAGUCGUGAGGAAGGUGUUAAGGUUAAUAACCUUAGCAAUUGACGUUAGCGACAGAAGAAGCACCGGCUAACUCCGUGCCAGCAGCCGCGGUAAUACGGAGGGUGCGAGCGUUAAUCGGAAUUACUGGGCGUAAAGGGCACGCAGGCGGUUAAUUAAGUUGGAUGUGAAAUCCCCGGGCUUAACCUGGGAAUGGCAUUCAAGACUGGUUAGCUAGAGUCUUGUAGAGGGGGUUAGAAUUCCAUGUGUAGCGGUGAAAUGCGUAGAGAUGUGGAGGAAUACCGGUGGCGAAGGCGGCCCCUGGACAAAGACUGACGCUCAUGUGCGAAAGCUGGGGAGCAAACGAGGAUUAGAUACCCGU